Molecule: non-coding RNA, 1522 nt
Organism: Ochotona princeps (American pika)
Lineage: Eukaryota; Metazoa; Chordata; Mammalia; Lagomorpha; Ochotonidae
Source: the annotation of a RefSeq genome assembly
AGAGCCUAAUAUACAUUCAGUAAAGAGAAUAUUUGACUGAGGGGCCUACCUCUAGUUCAAUCCUCAGAGUUGAGUACUCUGAGAUCCAGAAAGGAAGAAACAUGGAGAAACUCCUGGGAGGGACUUUAGUGAUUUUCUGUCUUCAGCUGACCAGGGUGAGCAGCCAACAAGAAGAAGAGAAGCUUCAGGCUCUGAUCAUCCAGGAAGGUGAAAAUGCCACCAUGAACUGCAGCUACAAAACAACUAUAACCAAUUUACAAUGGUAUAGACAAGCUUCGGGCACAGGCCCCAUCCUGCUGAUUCUAAUCCGUUCAAAUGAGAGAGAGAAACCCAGCAGAAGAUUCAGAGCCACACUCGACACUUCCAACAAAAGAAGCACCCUGUCCAUCACAGAUGCCCAACCUGCAGACACUGCUACUUACUUCUGUGCCACUGACGCACAGCACUCAAAAGGCACCUGCCACCCCUGCACAAACCUUUCUGAAGCAGCUUUUUGGAGACUCUGACAGUGCUGGAGUCUCUAUCUUUCAGGGAGGAGAGUCUACAAAAAGCUGGAGACAUGAAAUGACAACUUUCCCAGCUUGUGACUUGUGUUUUGAGCAUCUUGGACUAGGGAAAAGAGCACGGAAUUUGGAGUGGGAAACUGCAAUGUCAGGCUCAAUCCUGUCUAACAAUGCAACAGCCUCCAAUCUUCUCACUGGAAAUGAAGAAUUCAGAUAGAUAAGCCCAAAAGAUUCCUCUACUGUAAAUGUGUUAAAACAAAAAAGUAAGCCCUGGACACUUGUGGAGGAUGACAAGGGAUUUCUCAGUGUUAGAGGGUCUUAUCUUUCCUUUGUAUGCUUCCCUGGGGCCCAGGUGGGUCUUUGAAAUGCAUGGAAUAAUUCUUUACAAGCUUCUAAAUCCUAUGUGGGAAACAGUGGACUCAUCAAGAUUUAGGUUAGAAGGGGCCUUAACCAAAUGUGUCACUGUGUCACUGUGAAAUCGUUGUGUAGCCAGACUCAGAUGUGAAUCUUUAGGAAAACAAAGAUCAAAAUGUGAUACUGCUGUGUUCUACUUAUGUGAUUUUUUUUUAGUUUUCCUACUAGUAAAAUGAAACCUUACAAGAAAGUAAUAAUUUUCCCCAUCCAAAUGAGAAAUAUAUGUUCUCAACUACAUCGUGCAUUUCUGUGUUUUGAAAGCAGAUACUUCUAUAAUCAAACACAUAACACCUUUCCAUCUGUUUAUUCAUGUUCCUACUAAGAUAAACAAAUGCUGGCUAUGGUUUUCUUGACAGAUUUUUGACUUGUUGAAAAUGUGUUUGUGGAUAAAAUUAGAGUGUUUCUAUCUGUGUGUGUGCUCAGUGAAGAAGGUGGGGGAGGGCAGAAACUGGCUGUGGGGGACAAUGUUUCAUGAGAGCCACACAUUGAUCUGACAUUAUCACUCAUGUCAGAAUCAUCUAGACAAUUAUGUUCAGUUGUGGCUGAUUUAGUGAUUAAUGAAGGGAUGGGUUUAUAUUUAAAUGAACACCACGUGCAUUAGUCAG